Myodes glareolus (Bank vole) is the source of this 262-nucleotide non-coding RNA. NCBI's taxonomy places the organism in Eukaryota, Metazoa, Chordata, Mammalia, Rodentia, Cricetidae. The record is from RefSeq and is a predicted model, not a curated record.
AUUUGGUUAUAGGGACAGAAAGGUGGCUUACGUACCCCUCUCAGCGAUGUGUGUGGGAAUCAUAGAGGAGCAGGCUGAUGGAAUGUCUAUGAAUUUCUUAGACGACUGUGACUUCCUUGGUCUUGGAGAAUGACAACGUGAUGGUUUUCUCCAUGCUGCUCCGCUGACAGCGUGAUGUCUGCUCCUUGGCCCUGCUUGUCCCCAGCGGAACACCUUGGACUGAGCUUCUGCAGUGAUGCCUUAAUAAACAAAGAAGAGAUGA